GCUUGUCUCAAAGAUUAAGCCAUGCAUGUCUAAGUAUAAGCCUUUAUAUGGUGAGACUGCGAAUGGCUCAUUAAAUCAGAAACUGUUUAUUUGAUAGUGCCUACUACAUGGAUACCUGUAGUAAUUCUAGAGCUAAUACAUGCUGGCGUGCCCGACUUUUGUGGAAGGGCGGUAUUUAUUAGAUAACAAGCCAAUAUUCCUCACGGUCUAUUGUGGUGACUCAUAAUAACUGAUCGAAUCGCAAGGCCCUUGGCCGCGAUAAGUCAUUCAAGUUUCUGCCCCAUCAGCUUUCGAUGGUAGUGUAUUGGACUACCAUGGCGUUCACGGGUAACGGAGAAUUAGGGUUCGAUUCCGGAGAGGGAGCCUGAGAAACGGCUACCACAUCUAAGGAAGGCAGCAGG
Molecule: ribosomal RNA, 401 nt
Filed under: uncultured Strombidiidae
Lineage: Eukaryota; Ciliophora; Spirotrichea; Strombidiidae
Description: partial small subunit ribosomal RNA
Rfam family: Eukaryotic small subunit ribosomal RNA
Source: RNAcentral